GCCGAAGUGGUGGAAUUUGGUAGACACGCCAUCUUGAGGGGGUGGUGGGUGAUUCCCGUGCGGGUUCAAAUCCCGCCUUCGGCACCA
Molecule: transfer RNA, 87 nt
Filed under: Deltaproteobacteria bacterium
Lineage: Bacteria; Pseudomonadati; Myxococcota; Myxococcia
Description: tRNA-Leu
Rfam family: tRNA
About the family: Transfer RNA (tRNA) molecules are approximately 80 nucleotides in length.
Source: RNAcentral